GUGAAAGGAAACUGGUGGAUAUUCAUGAAUAGAUGAACCCAUGCAAGAUGGCAGGCUGAAGAUAGCGGAUGAAGUUGCCAAACAGAAGCUGGUGGAGCAAUCUGGCUCUGAGGAGGCAAGGAUAAACAUCGACCCAAGGAGACAGGAGUGCUGGGAGACUGAGUGGAGACUGGAGAGCCUGGAAAAGGAAUACCUCAGCUCAAAGAUUGUACUAGUUACUACAUCAGAUAUACUGAGCAUGUGAAAUAAUCAGCUAUUUGGAAGCUCCAUAUUCUGCAAUCCAGCACGGCACGUAGAAGGUCAAGCAACACCCAUACCUUUGUUUGUGUGGAAGAAAAUGGAGCAAUACCUUCUAGCCAUCUGCUGUGCUUGUUGUUUCCUGUAUUUGGGCAAGGAACUGAAAAUGGCCAAAGUUUUAUAUUGUACCUCUUUCCCCAGAAGCAAAUAUAGGCAGAUAAUGGUGUUUCUUUAGAAUAAUUAAGAUUCAUGUCAUUUUUAUUCAAUCAACAGUAAAAUAACUAAACUGUAUAAUUACAAUAAAGAAGACCAACAGUUGUAUAGCUGAACUUUUCUGUCUUUUUUAAAAUAUAUCCUCAGAAAGAUAAAAGAAUUUUAGGUUACUGAAAUAUUCACAAUGGUUGUUUCUUGUUAAUAUAGGAUAUGUUUUUCUUUUCUUUUUUACUUUUUGUCAUGGCUAAAUGAUCAUAAUCAGAAAAAUAAAAGCAGUGUUAGAAAGUUUAAUAUCGCUCUCUAUUUCUUCAGAAAUUUUGAAGAAAACGUGUAUUACAUUGGUAUAUGACUUACAAUGGUUUCACAGCGAGGACUGCAAAACCACUUACAUAUAUAAACAUGGAAGAGAAUGCUAAAACAUUAAAACAUUGGUAGCCAUCUAUAAACACGAAGAAGUUUCAUAAAAUUCACACUCCAGGAAGACAUUCAUCAUAUGUCAACAGCCUGAUCCUUUUUUAAUAUAUAUACUUCAAAAUAUGUUUAAUUUGACAAUAAUAACAAUUAAAAACAGUCGAGGCCAAAAUCCACCAGGAAAUUCUUUAUGCAAGGCCUCCCUUGUCUUCUUAGAGGUCUCUGGUCUGCCAAGGGAGCAGGUGACAAGACUGCUGCCUCCUCAGUAUGCAGGAGACUUCCCAGGCAGCCACGUCUUUGUGAGGUCCACAUAGCAAAUAUUUAUGGAAAGGGCCCAAAACCUGUCAGAAAAGUCAAGGGUAUCCUGGAUCCCCUUUGAAAGCAUCUCCACUCCAAUUGGAAGCCAUGACUUUGGCUUUGGAACCGAUUUCAGCUAAGGUGUGUCUUUGCUCUCAUCUUACACUGAAAUAAUUGGAAACUGCACAAAAGCACUCAAAUGCUCUGGCUGAGAUCCCCUUUAUUACAAUGGGUCUUGCACAGGAGAACUUCCUGGCUAAUUGUGCUGCAAAUGAGAGAAGCAGGAUUCUAAGCUACAUGGCCUCUUUUUUAUUGGGCUGAUUUUUAUUUUUUUUUAAAGGCGAGGA
Long non-coding RNA from Podarcis raffonei (Aeolian wall lizard), 1505 nucleotides. RefSeq lists it as uncharacterized. NCBI's taxonomy places the organism in Eukaryota, Metazoa, Chordata, Lepidosauria, Squamata, Lacertidae. The record is from RefSeq and is a predicted model, not a curated record. The transcript is spliced from 3 exons.